RNAcentral lists this ribosomal RNA (53 nucleotides) under Eubacterium sp. Its description in RNAcentral is "partial 23S ribosomal RNA". The record is from RNAcentral. Lineage: Bacteria; Bacillati; Bacillota; Clostridia; Eubacteriales; Eubacteriaceae.
AGCAUGGUAACAUGUGGAGCUGACAGAUACUAAUAGGUCGAAGGCUUGACCUU